Molecule: long non-coding RNA, 805 nt
Organism: Vespa mandarinia (Asian giant hornet)
Lineage: Eukaryota; Metazoa; Arthropoda; Insecta; Hymenoptera; Vespidae
Source: RefSeq, a predicted model, not a curated record
CGGCUCAUUUCGCAUUGAUCGCAUCGAAUGCGAUACCAGACGUGUGUCGAUAUCCCUCUCUCCCUCCAUCCUUUCUCGUUCACCGAUUUUUAGUGCCGAAAUUCUACAUGGCGAUUUUUUUAUAUGAUGUUUGAUAGAAAAAAGUUGACAAUCGUACCGAAGAGGUUAAACAGAAAAAGAUAAAUAUACCUUCGUAAAUAUGAUAUAAAUGGUAAUUUCUAAAACAUGUAAUUAUAUGUUUUAAUUACUGUUAUAAAAAAUGGUGAUAGAAGAAUUCAAAAAUGAUUUUCACACCUAUAGUUAUGAUAUGUUAGAUAAGAAAAAUCAUAAAUAAAUGUGAAUCAGGAUUAUCAUCGUGCACUCACCAGAUGGCGUUUCGAAGUAAGAACGUUUUCCAUUCUCUAAUUUUAUUUAAUCUAUGUCGUAUUCUGGCAUUACUGUAAAAUUACGCGAAACUAAAGAUCGUGCAUUUAAUAAAAGCUUUGAUAACUUAAGUAGAAUAAAAAUGUUAUUAGCGAAAGAUAUUGCGUUAUAUGGAAAGAUCGAAGGAACGUGCUAUCAAAGUGAGAGAACGCAGGUGGCAAAGCAUAAAGUAAUACAUUCUAAGAUACUACUUUAUUGACUCUGAAUAUUGAAAAGGCACUUAAGUUAGACUAAAACUAUACCGUACACAGAAUGUCUUUGAGAAAAUGAUAUACUAGUCCAAUACAUUUAAGUCAAAAAGAGUUUAACAAAGAAGUAGCUCAUUUUAAAAUAAAGAAAAAAAAGAAGUAGUGAUUAAACGAACUUAUUGAUCUUUGUAUUU